CACUUCCCAGACCGACACCUUUUCCUCCCCCUUCUUGUUAUCUUCCUCCUCCUCAUCCCCCUCCCAUGGCUGCUCCUCCCUAAAAUCGCCCCACUGCAGCACCUAAUCCUUGAGGGGAAGUAGCAAAACGGAACGAGGAGAGCGAGAGGAGCAUGGAGAAGAGUAUCUUCGGGGUGGAUUGGCCUUCUCCUUCUCUUCCCGUUACCCUAGGGUUUGGGAAAAACCAAGGUUAUCCUUGAAGCUAGCAUGAAGGGAAGUGGGUUAGUUGCACGCCAUACACUUCUCCCGGAUCUCAUAAUGUUUUAGUGCAUAAUUCUGAAUUUGUUAGAUCUUAUAGUAACUUAAAUCAUAUCUAUACAUGAUGUAGAGUUAUCUUGUUAGAUAAUCACGCUUUUCAUAUACAUCUAUAUAUCGUUGCUUCCGCGUC
Panicum virgatum (switchgrass) is the source of this 427-nucleotide long non-coding RNA. RefSeq lists it as uncharacterized. The transcript is spliced from 2 exons. NCBI's taxonomy places the organism in Eukaryota, Viridiplantae, Streptophyta, Magnoliopsida, Poales, Poaceae. The record is from RefSeq and is a predicted model, not a curated record.